AAAAAAACUGUCCACCACCAUCCCAUCCAAAAUUACCCUCUUCAAAAACGCCAGAGAAAUUGGUCUUCACCUAUAACACCAUCAAAGUUCUCCUCUCCAAACUCAGGGCUAGGUGCUGUUAGUGGUGCUAAAAGAUCAUUGUGAAGAUCAUCAAAACCUGGGAAUAUCCCGUAUUCCGUCAGAUAAUUGCUCGAAUCCAAGAAUGGGGAAUCCAGCAUCCGCCUACUACCAUCCAUUUGUGCUGUCAAAUCUAACACUACCGAAGGACACGGGGACUCCGCUUGCAACUCCGACACAGCCGAUUGAUCCGUAGACGAAGAACUCUCCAAUUGGUUUCUCGGAGGCUUAGAAUUUGCAAACCUCGCAGCAGCUACUUGAAUUUCGGGCGGAGAAAGCGACUGCCCACCCACUAUGUGCGGUGGAUUAUUUGGAAAAUUGAAUUUGGCUGUGCGGCCACGUAAGCAAAAGAGUGCGGCAUCAAAAGCAUGUGCGGCUUUCUCUGCCGAAUCGUACGAUCCUAACCAAAUUCGCUCCCUACUGUUUGGUAGACGGAUUUCGGACACCCACUUCCCCCAUUUACGCUUGCGGACACCUUUGAACUUGGAAUCGCUGCUAUCGGUGGGCUUCUCUGCCAUGUGUUUCACCGUAUGUCAACUGAUACUUGUUAUGAUUCUGAUUUUGUGCUAUGAUGAUUGUUCGAUGCUUUCCAACUGAGGAUAGGAUUUUGCGGCUGUGUAUAUAUAUGUGGGUGAAGGCAGCUGGUGUCUGACUGCGAAGGUCAACACUGAAAGUACGCGUUCAAGCGGGAGCCGCAAAGGCGCGGCAAGGAAGCAAGUUUUUGUUGUUACGCGGGGGUUGGUUUCAGGAGGUAACUUCCUCUCUUUUACUGUUUUCUAUUGGGACCACGCGCGUGUGUUAUUCAUUGCUUUAUGAGUAGAA
Molecule: unclassified non-coding RNA, 939 nt
Filed under: Hevea brasiliensis (rubber tree)
Lineage: Eukaryota; Viridiplantae; Streptophyta; Magnoliopsida; Malpighiales; Euphorbiaceae
Source: RNAcentral